GCAACGGCAAAAUCCGUUGCCGGGCGUCAGAACCCGCAAUACCGGAAGGCGCGCAGCGCCACAGGCGCUUUUUUU
This 75-nucleotide small RNA is filed under the name Nitrosococcus halophilus Nc 4. Its description in RNAcentral is "Nitrosococcus halophilus Nc4 isrK Hfq binding RNA". It matches the Rfam family "isrK Hfq binding RNA". Lineage: Bacteria; Pseudomonadati; Pseudomonadota; Gammaproteobacteria; Chromatiales; Chromatiaceae. The record is from Rfam by way of RNAcentral.